Molecule: ribosomal RNA, 551 nt
Filed under: uncultured bacterium
Lineage: Bacteria
Description: bacterial SSU rRNA
Rfam family: Bacterial small subunit ribosomal RNA
Source: RNAcentral
UGGGGAAUCUUGCGCAAUGGGGGAAACCUUGACGCAGCAACGCCGCGUGGGUGAUGAAGGCCUUCGGGUCGUAAAGCCCUGUCAGGUGGGAAGAAACAUGUCGGUGCUAAUAUCACCGAUGUUUGACGGUACCGCCGGAGGAAGCACCGGCUAACUCCGUGCCAGCAGCCGCGGUAAUACGGAGGGUGCAAGCGUUGUUCGGAAUUACUGGGCGUAAAGCGCGUGUAGGCGGUCGGGCAAGUCAGAUGUGAAAGCCUUCCGCUCAACGGAAGAAGUGCAUUUGAAACUACCCGGCUGGAGUACGGGAGAGGAGAGUGGAAUUCCCGGUGUAGAGGUGAAAUUCGUAGAUAUCGGGAGGAACACCAGUGGCGAAGGCGGCUCUCUGGUCCGAUACUGACGCUGAGACGCGAAAGCGUGGGGAGCAAACAGGAUUAGAUACCCUGGUAGUCCACGCCGUAAACGAUGGGCACUAGGUGUAGGAGGUAUUGACCCCUGCGGUGCCGCAGCUAACGCACUAAGUGCUCCGCCUGGGGACUACGGCCGCAAGGUUA